Molecule: ribosomal RNA, 494 nt
Filed under: uncultured bacterium
Lineage: Bacteria
Description: partial 16S ribosomal RNA
Rfam family: Bacterial small subunit ribosomal RNA
Source: RNAcentral
GACGAACGCUGGCGGCGUGCCUAAUACAUGCAAGUCGAACGGUUUAGUUCCAAGAGGCUUGCCUUUUGGAACUAGACAGUGGCGGACGGGUGAGUAACACGUAGGCAACCUACCUGUCAAACCGGGAUAACCUCGGGAAACCGAAGCUAAACCCGGAUAAGCUCCUUUUUCGCAUGAAGGGGGAGUGAAAAGGUGCGACCUGAUGACAGAUGGGCCUGCGGCGCAUUAGCUAGUAGGUAGGGUAACGGCCUACCUAGGCGAUGAUGCGUAGCCGACCUGAGAGGGCGUACGGCCACACUGGGACUGAGAUACGGCCCAGACUCCUACGGGAGGCAGCAGUAGGGAAUCUUCGGCAAUGGGCGAAAGCCUGACCGAGCAACGCCGCGUGAGUGAGGAAGGCCUUCGGGUUGUAAAACUCUGUUGUUUGGGAAGAAGGGAAAGGGUAGGACCCUUAGGUGACGGUACCAAACGAGAAGGCCCCGGCUAACUACGUG